UACGUAGGGUGCGAGCGUUGUCCGGAAUUAUUGGGCGUAAAGAGCUUGUAGGCGGUUUGUCGCGUCUGCUGUGAAAACUCAGGGCUUAACCCUGAGCCUGCAGUGGGUACGGGCAGACUAGAGUGUGGUAGGGGAGACUGGAAUUCCUGGUGUAGCGGUGAAAUGCGCAGAUAUCAGGAGGAACACCGAUGGCGAAGGCAGGUCUCUGGGCCACUACUGACGCUGAGAAGCGAAAGCAUGGGGAGCGAACAGG
RNAcentral lists this ribosomal RNA (253 nucleotides) under uncultured bacterium. Its description in RNAcentral is "partial 16S ribosomal RNA". It matches the Rfam family "Bacterial small subunit ribosomal RNA", at positions 524 to 776 of the family's 1533-position model. The record is from RNAcentral.